GGAAAAUGGAAGUGAUGGAGCUGGUGAAGGAAAGGGGUCAGAGGAUGUAAAAAUGAAAGUUGAUGUAGAUGCUGAGGAUAUGGAGAAAAAGCAUGCUGAGCUCCUCGCCCUUCCUCCUCAUGGUUCAGAAGUGUACAUAGGUGGUAUUACUCAUGAUAUAUCUGAGGCAGAUGUGAGGGAAUUUUGUGAGACAAUUGGGGAAGUUACAGAGGUAAGAAUAAUGAAAGGGAAGGACUCAACUCAGAACAAAGGAUAUGCAUUUGUUACCUAUAGAAACAAGGAAUUGGCAACCAAGGCUAUUAAAGAGCUCAACAACACUGAACUGAAGGGAAAAAGGGUCAAAUGUUCUCCAGCUCAAGCUAAACAUAAGUUAUUCAUUGGUAAUGUUCCUAGAUCCUGGGGCGAGGAAGAUAUGAGGACGGCUGUAACAAAUGUAGGGCCUGGGGUUAUUACUAUUGAGUUAGUGAAGGAUCCUCUGAAUUCCGGUAAAAAUCGUGGAUUCGCUUUUAUAGAGUAUUACAAUCAUGCAUGUGCAGAGUAUUCUAGACAAGAGAUGUCAAAUUCAGAUUUUAAGCUUGAUGAUAAUGCACCAACUGUUAGCUGGGCAGAUCCCAAAAAUGCUGAAACUGCUUCUUCACAGGUUAAGGCAGUGUAUGUGAAGAACUUG
Molecule: unclassified non-coding RNA, 667 nt
Filed under: Hevea brasiliensis (rubber tree)
Lineage: Eukaryota; Viridiplantae; Streptophyta; Magnoliopsida; Malpighiales; Euphorbiaceae
Source: RNAcentral